GACGAACGCUGGCGGCGUGCUUAACACAUGCAAGUCGAACGGAAAGGCCCUGCUUUUGUGGGGUGCUCGAGUGGCGAACGGGUGAGUAACACGUGAGUAACCUGCCCUUGACUUUGGGAUAACUUCAGGAAACUGGGGCUAAUACCGGAUAGGAGCUCCUGCUGCAUGGUGGGGGUUGGAAAGUUUCGGCGGUUGGGGAUGGACUCGCGGCUUAUCAGCUUGUUGGUGGGGUAGUGGCUUACCAAGGCUUUGACGGGUAGCCGGCCUGAGAGGGUGACCGGCCACAUUGGGACUGAGAUACGGCCCAGACUCCUACGGGAGGCAGCAGUGGGGAAUAUUGCACAAUGGGCGGAAGCCUGAUGCAGCAACGCCGCGUGCGGGAUGACGGCCUUCGGGUUGUAAACCGCUUUCGCCUGUGACGAAGCGUGAGUGACGGUAAUGGGUAAAGAAGCACCGGCUAACUACGUGCCAGCAGCCGCGGUGAUACGUAGGGUGCGAGCGUUGUCCGGAUUUAUUGGGCGUAAAGGGCUCGUAGGUGGUUGAUCGCGUCGGAAGUGUAAUCUUGGGGCUUAACCCUGAGCGUGCUUUCGAUACGGGUUGACUUGAGGAAGGUAGGGGAGAAUGGAAUUCCUGGUGGAGCGGUGGAAUGCGCAGAUAUCAGGAGGAACACCAGUGGCGAAGGCGGUUCUCUGGGCCCUUUCCUGACGCUGAGGAGCGAAAGCGUGGGGAGCGAACAGGCUUAGAUACCCUGGUAGUCCACGCUGUAAACGGUGGGUACUAGGUGUGGGGUCCAUUCCACGGGUUCCGUGCCGUAGCUAACGCUUUAAGUACCCCGCCUGGGGAGUACGGCCGCAAGGCUAAAACUCAAAGGAAUUGACGGGGCCCCGCACAAGCGGCGGAGCAUGCGGAUUAAUUCGAUGCAACGCGUAGAACCUUACCUGGGUUUGACAUGGAUCGGGAGUGCUCAGAGAUGGGUGUGCCUCUUUUGGGGUCGGUUCACAGGUGGUGCAUGGCUGUCGUCAGCUCGUGUCGUGAGAUGUUGGGUUAAGUCCCGCAACGAGCGCAACCCUUGUUCACUGUUGCCAGCACGUUAUGGUGGGGACUCAGUGGAGACCGCCGGGGUCAACUCGGAGGAAGGUGGGGAUGACGUCAAGUCAUCAUGCCCCUUAUGUCCAGGGCUUCACGCAUGCUACAAUGGCUGGUACAGAGAGUGGCGAGCCUGUGAGGGUGAGCGAAUCUCGGAAAGCCGGUCUCAGUUCGGAUUGGGGUCUGCAACUCGACCUCAUGAAGUCGGAGUCGCUAGUAAUCGCAGAUCAGCAACGCUGCGGUGAAUACGUUCCCGGGGCU
This 1347-nucleotide ribosomal RNA is filed under the name uncultured bacterium. RNAcentral describes it as "partial 16S ribosomal RNA". It matches the Rfam family "Bacterial small subunit ribosomal RNA", at positions 28 to 1381 of the family's 1533-position model. The record is from RNAcentral.